GGGUCAGUAGGUUGGUCGUGCCACCGGUACGUACUGGUGUCACUGAUUCCUCCUUCCUGAAGAACCGUAAUGCCAUUAAUUUGGUGUUGCGGGGAAACAGGACUGUUACUUUGAAAAAAUUAGAGUGUUUAAAGCAAGCUAACGCUUGAAUACAUUAGCAUGGAAUAAUGAAAUAGGACGAUCGAUCCUAUUUUGUUGGUUUCUAGGAUUGACGUA
This 216-nucleotide ribosomal RNA is filed under the name Glomeromycotina sp. RNAcentral's name for it is "partial small subunit ribosomal RNA". The stretch from base 38 to 216 matches the Rfam family "Eukaryotic small subunit ribosomal RNA", at positions 684 to 864 of the family's 1831-position model. The record is from RNAcentral. Lineage: Eukaryota; Fungi; Glomeromycota.